This 2902-nucleotide ribosomal RNA is filed under the name Klebsiella pneumoniae. Its description in RNAcentral is "23S ribosomal RNA". It matches the Rfam family "Bacterial large subunit ribosomal RNA". Lineage: Bacteria; Pseudomonadati; Pseudomonadota; Gammaproteobacteria; Enterobacterales; Enterobacteriaceae. The record is from RNAcentral.
GGUUAAGCGACUAAGCGUACACGGUGGAUGCCCUGGCAGUCAGAGGCGAUGAAGGACGUGCUAAUCUGCGAAAAGCGUCGGUAAGGUGAUAUGAACCGUUACAGCCGGCGAUGUCCGAAUGGGGAAACCCAGUGCAAUUCGUUGCACUAUCGUUAACUGAAUACAUAGGUUAACGAGGCGAACCGGGGGAACUGAAACAUCUAAGUACCCCGAGGAAAAGAAAUCAACCGAGAUUCCCCCAGUAGCGGCGAGCGAACGGGGAGCAGCCCAGAGUCUGAAUCAGCUUGUGUGUUAGUGGAACGGUCUGGAAAGUCCGACGGUACAGGGUGAUAGUCCCGUACACCAAAAUGCACAGGUUGUGAACUCGAAGAGUAGGGCGGGACACGUGGUAUCCUGUCUGAAUAUGGGGGGACCAUCCUCCAAGGCUAAAUACUCCUGACUGACCGAUAGUGAACCAGUACCGUGAGGGAAAGGCGAAAAGAACCCCGGCGAGGGGAGUGAAAAAGAACCUGAAACCGUGUACGUACAAGCAGUGGGAGCACCUUCGGGUGUGACUGCGUACCUUUUGUAUAAUGGGUCAGCGACUUAUAUUCUGUAGCAAGGUUAACCGUAUAGGGGAGCCGCAGGGAAACCGAGUCUUAACUGGGCGUUAAGUUGCAGGGUAUAGACCCGAAACCCGGUGAUCUAGCCAUGGGCAGGUUGAAGGUUGGGUAACACUAACUGGAGGACCGAACCGACUAAUGUUGAAAAAUUAGCGGAUGACUUGUGGCUGGGGGUGAAAGGCCAAUCAAACCGGGAGAUAGCUGGUUCUCCCCGAAAGCUAUUUAGGUAGCGCCUCGUGAAUUCAUCUUCGGGGGUAGAGCACUGUUUCGGCUAGGGGGUCAUCCCGACUUACCAACCCGAUGCAAACUACGAAUACCGAAGAAUGUUAUCACGGGAGACACACGGCGGGUGCUAACGUCCGUCGUGAAGAGGGAAACAACCCAGACCGCCAGCUAAGGUCCCAAAGUCAUGGUUAAGUGGGAAACGAUGUGGGAAGGCACAGACAGCCAGGAUGUUGGCUUAGAAGCAGCCAUCAUUUAAAGAAAGCGUAAUAGCUCACUGGUCGAGUCGGCCUGCGCGGAAGAUGUAACGGGGCUAAACCAUGCACCGAAGCUGCGGCAGCGACACUAUGUGUUGUUGGGUAGGGGAGCGUUCUGUAAGCCUGCGAAGGUGACCUGUGAGGGUUGCUGGAGGUAUCAGAAGUGCGAAUGCUGACAUAAGUAACGAUAAAGCGGGUGAAAAGCCCGCUCGCCGGAAGACCAAGGGUUCCUGUCCAACGUUAAUCGGGGCAGGGUGAGUCGACCCCUAAGGCGAGGCCGAAAGGCGUAGUCGAUGGGAAACAGGUUAAUAUUCCUGUACUUGGUGUUACUGCGAAGGGGGGACGGAGAAGGCUAUGUUAGCCGGGCGACGGUUGUCCCGGUUUAAGCAUGUAGGCUGGUUGUCCAGGCAAAUCCGGAUAAUCAAGGCUGAGGUGUGAUGACGAGGCACUACGGUGCUGAAGUAACAAAUGCCCUGCUUCCAGGAAAAGCCUCUAAGCAUCAGGUAACAUUAAAUCGUACCCCAAACCGACACAGGUGGUCAGGUAGAGAAUACCAAGGCGCUUGAGAGAACUCGGGUGAAGGAACUAGGCAAAAUGGUGCCGUAACUUCGGGAGAAGGCACGCUGGUGUGUAGGUGAAGUCCCUGCGGAUGGAGCUGAGACCAGUCGAAGAUACCAGCUGGCUGCAACUGUUUAUUAAAAACACAGCACUGUGCAAACACGAAAGUGGACGUAUACGGUGUGACGCCUGCCCGGUGCCGGAAGGUUAAUUGAUGGGGUUAUCCGUAAGGAGAAGCUCUUGAUCGAAGCCCCGGUAAACGGCGGCCGUAACUAUAACGGUCCUAAGGUAGCGAAAUUCCUUGUCGGGUAAGUUCCGACCUGCACGAAUGGCGUAAUGAUGGCCAGGCUGUCUCCACCCGAGACUCAGUGAAAUUGAACUCGCUGUGAAGAUGCAGUGUACCCGCGGCAAGACGGAAAGACCCCGUGAACCUUUACUAUAGCUUGACACUGAACAUUGAGCCUUGAUGUGUAGGAUAGGUGGGAGGCUUUGAAGCGUGGACGCCAGUCUGCGUGGAGCCAACCUUGAAAUACCACCCUUUAAUGUUUGAUGUUCUAACGUUGGCCCCUUAUCGGGGUUGCGGACAGUGUCUGGUGGGUAGUUUGACUGGGGCGGUCUCCUCCCAAAGCGUAACGGAGGAGCACGAAGGUUAGCUAAUCCUGGUCGGACAUCAGGAGGUUAGUGCAAUGGCAUAAGCUAGCUUGACUGCGAGCGUGACGGCGCGAGCAGGUGCGAAAGCAGGUCAUAGUGAUCCGGUGGUUCUGAAUGGAAGGGCCAUCGCUCAACGGAUAAAAGGUACUCCGGGGAUAACAGGCUGAUACCGCCCAAGAGUUCAUAUCGACGGCGGUGUUUGGCACCUCGAUGUCGGCUCAUCACAUCCUGGGGCUGAAGUAGGUCCCAAGGGUAUGGCUGUUCGCCAUUUAAAGUGGUACGCGAGCUGGGUUUAGAACGUCGUGAGACAGUUCGGUCCCUAUCUGCCGUGGGCGCUGGAGAAUUGAGGGGGGCUGCUCCUAGUACGAGAGGACCGGAGUGGACGCAUCACUGGUGUUCGGGUUGUCAUGCCAAUGGCACUGCCCGGUAGCUAAAUGCGGAAGAGAUAAGUGCUGAAAGCAUCUAAGCACGAAACUUGCCCCGAGAUGAGUUCUCCCUGAGACUUUAAGUCUCCUGAAGGAACGUUGAAGACGACGACGUUGAUAGGCCGGGUGUGUAAGCGCAGCGAUGCGUUGAGCUAACCGGUACUAAUGAACCGUGAGGCUUAACCUU